GACGUGCGGACGGGAGAAUCCGGCUCAUGCCGGUGCCGAAGGAGCAAUCGCCCCGGAAACUCUCAGGCCGAAGGACCGGCCGCGCGAC
This 88-nucleotide non-coding RNA is filed under the name Wenxinia marina. RNAcentral describes it as "Glycine sequence". It matches the Rfam family "Glycine riboswitch aptamer". From Rfam's summary of the family: This family represents the bacterial glycine riboswitch. Glycine riboswitches usually consist of two metabolite-binding aptamers domains with similar structures in tandem. RNAcentral also lists the same sequence under 1 other name. The record is from RNAcentral. Lineage: Bacteria; Pseudomonadati; Pseudomonadota; Alphaproteobacteria; Rhodobacterales; Roseobacteraceae.